RNAcentral lists this microRNA precursor (144 nucleotides) under Gossypium hirsutum (cotton). Its description in RNAcentral is "MIR7502 microRNA precursor family". It matches the Rfam family "MIR7502 microRNA precursor family". Lineage: Eukaryota; Viridiplantae; Streptophyta; Magnoliopsida; Malvales; Malvaceae. The record is from Rfam by way of RNAcentral.
UGUUAAAAUUUUCAUGUAUUUGUAAUGUUAAAAACUAGUGUGACUAACGGAAUAACCAAAUAAUGACAUAUGACGUGCCAUUGUACCUCAAACUAAUGUAUAUGAAUCAAUUUUUAAUAAUAGAAAAGGGUUAAAAUUUUAAUA